UCCCUCUCAGGACUGCACCUGGAGAGUUUCCAGUACUCUACCAGUCUCGGCUAUAGGAGGGAGAGUCAAGCAGAGGCCUUCCCAUUCCAUUCCAAGCUGGGGCAAUGGCUAGCAAGUGGAAAGCAAUCUGCUACAAGU
RNAcentral lists this small nucleolar RNA (138 nucleotides) under Ornithorhynchus anatinus (platypus). Lineage: Eukaryota; Metazoa; Chordata; Mammalia; Monotremata; Ornithorhynchidae. The record is from RNAcentral.